CCUACGUGGUGCAGCAGUGGGGAAUAUUGCACAAUGGGGGAAACCCUGAUGCAGCGACGCCGCGUGAGUGAAGAAGUAUCUCGGUACGUAACGCUCUAUCAGCAGGGAAGAUAAUGACGGUACCUGACCAAGAAGCCCCGUCUAACUACGUGCCAGCAGCCGCGGGAAUACGUAGGGGGCAAGCGUUAUCCGGAUUUAAUGGGUGUAAAGGGAGCGUAGACGGCAGCACAAGUCUGGAGUGAAAUCCCGGGGCUUAACCCCGGAACUGUUUUGGAAACUGUGCGGCUGGAGUGCAGGAGGGGUAAGCGGAAUUCCUAGUGUAGCGGUGAAAUGCGUAGAGAUUAGGAGGAACACCAGUGGCGAAAGCGGCUCUCUGGUCUGUAACUGACGCUGAGGUUCGAAAGCGUGGGUAGCAAACAGGAUUAGAUACCCCAGUAGUC
RNAcentral lists this ribosomal RNA (440 nucleotides) under uncultured bacterium. RNAcentral describes it as "partial 16S ribosomal RNA". It matches the Rfam family "Bacterial small subunit ribosomal RNA", at positions 338 to 795 of the family's 1533-position model. The record is from RNAcentral.